This 451-nucleotide ribosomal RNA is filed under the name uncultured Acetobacterium sp. RNAcentral describes it as "bacterial SSU rRNA". It matches the Rfam family "Bacterial small subunit ribosomal RNA", at positions 930 to 1382 of the family's 1533-position model. Lineage: Bacteria; Bacillati; Bacillota; Clostridia; Eubacteriales; Eubacteriaceae. The record is from RNAcentral.
CGGUGGAGCAUGUGGUUUAAUUCGAAGCAACGCGAAGAACCUUACCAGGUCUUGACAUCCUCUGACCAUCUGAGAGAUCAGACUUUCCCUUCGGGGACAGAGAGACAGGUGGUGCAUGGUUGUCGUCAGCUCGUGUCGUGAGAUGUUGGGUUAAGUCCCGCAACGAGCGCAACCCCUGUGGUUAGUUGCCAUCAUUUAGUUGGGCACUCUAAGCAGACUGCCGUGGAUAACACGGAGGAAGGUGGGGACGACGUCAAAUCAUCAUGCCCCUUAUGACCUGGGCUACACACGUGCUACAAUGGUCUGAACAGAGGGCUGCGAAACCGCGAGGUGAAGCUAAUCCCUUAAAACAGAUCUCAGUUCGGAUUGCAGGCUGCAACUCGCCUGCAUGAAGUUGGAGUUGCUAGUAAUCGCAGAUCAGAAUGCUGCGGUGAAUGCGUUCCCGGGUCUU